GACGAACGCUGGCGGCGUGCUUAACACAUGCAAGUCGAACGGAAAGGCCCUGCUUUUGUGGGGUGCUCGAGUGGCGAACGGGUGAGUAACACGUGAGUAACCUGCCCUUGACUUUGGGAUAACUUCAGGAAACUGGGGCUAAUACCGGAUAGGAGCUCCUGCUGCAUGGUGGGGGUUGGAAAGUUUCGGCGGUUGGGGAUGGACUCGCGGCUUAUCAGCUUGUUGGUGGGGUAGUGGCUUACCAAGGCUUUGACGGGUAGCCGGCCUGCGAGGGUGACCGGCCACAUUGGGACUGAGAUACGGCCCAGACUCCUACGGGAGGCAGCAGUGGGGAAUAUUGCGCAAUGGGCAGAAGCCUGAUGCAGCAACGCCGCGUGCGGGAUGACGGCCUUCGGGUUGUAAACCGCUUUCGCCUGUGACGAAGCGUGAGUGACGGUAAUGGGUAAAGAAGCACCGGCUAACUACGUG
RNAcentral lists this ribosomal RNA (468 nucleotides) under uncultured bacterium. RNAcentral describes it as "partial 16S ribosomal RNA". It matches the Rfam family "Bacterial small subunit ribosomal RNA", at positions 28 to 507 of the family's 1533-position model. The record is from RNAcentral.